This is an unclassified non-coding RNA of Macaca fascicularis (crab-eating macaque), 148 nucleotides long. It matches the Rfam family "Metazoan signal recognition particle RNA". From Rfam's summary of the family: The signal recognition particle (SRP) is a universally conserved ribonucleoprotein. It is involved in the co-translational targeting of proteins to membranes. NCBI's taxonomy places the organism in Eukaryota, Metazoa, Chordata, Mammalia, Primates, Cercopithecidae. The record is from Ensembl.
GCCAGGCGUGGUGGCACAUGCCUGUAAUCCCAGCUACUCGGGAGGCUGAGGCAGGAGGAUUGCUUGAACCCAGGAGGUGAAGGCUGCAGUGAGCUGAGUUUGCGCCACUGCACUCCAGCCUGGGUAACAGAGCAAGACUCUGUCUCAA